This 245-nucleotide ribosomal RNA is filed under the name uncultured bacterium. Its description in RNAcentral is "partial 16S ribosomal RNA". It matches the Rfam family "Bacterial small subunit ribosomal RNA", at positions 524 to 768 of the family's 1533-position model. The record is from RNAcentral.
UACGGGAGGGGCGAGUGUUGUUCGGAGUUACUGGGCGUAAAGGGUGUGUAGGCGGUUCUUUAAGUUUGUUGUGAAAUCUCCCGGCUUAACCGGGAGGGUGCGGCGAAUACUGAGGGACUAGAGUAUGGGAGAGGAAAGUGGAAUUCCUGGUGUAGCGGUGAAGUGCGUAGAUAUCAGGAGGAACACCGGUGGUGUAGACGGCUUUCUGGACCAUAACUGACGCUGAGACACGAAAGCGUGGGUAG